UAGCUGAGUGUCUUGAGGAGGGACUGACCAUGUCACACUUGGGACUUGAGACACGGCCCAGACUCCUACGGGAGGCAGCAGUGGGGAAUUUUCCGCAAUGGGCGAAAGCCUGACGGAGCAAUACCGCGUGAGGGAGGAAGGCUCUUGGGUUGUAAACCUCUUUUCUCAGGGAAUAAGAAAGUGAAGGUACCUGAGGAAUCAGCAUCGGCUAACUCCGUGCCAGCAGCCGCGGUAAUACGGAGGAUGCAAGCGUUAUCCGGAAUGAUUGGGCGUAAAGCGUCCGCAGGUGGUUGCUCAAGUCUGCUGUCAAAGAGUCUGGCUCAACCAGAUAAAGGCAGUGGAAACUGAGAGACUAGAGUGCGGUAGGGGCAGAGGGAAUUCCUGGUGUAGCGGUGAAAUGCGUAGAGAUCAGGAAGAACACCGGUGGCGAAAGCGCUCUGCUGGACCGCAACUGACACUGAGGGACGAAAGCUAGGGGAGCGAAAGGGAUUAGAUACCCCUGUAGUCA
Molecule: ribosomal RNA, 508 nt
Filed under: uncultured Stigonematales cyanobacterium
Lineage: Bacteria; Bacillati; Cyanobacteriota; Cyanophyceae; Nostocales; Stigonemataceae
Description: bacterial SSU rRNA
Rfam family: Bacterial small subunit ribosomal RNA
Source: RNAcentral